GACGAACGCUGGCGGCGUGCUUAACACAUGCAAGUCGAACGGAAAGGCCCUGCUUUUGUGGGGUGCUCGAGUGGCGAACGGGUGAGUAACACGUGAGUAACCUGCCCUUGACUUUGGGAUAACUUCAGGAAACUGGGGCUAAUACCGGAUAGGAGCUCCUGCUGCAUGGUGGGGGUUGGAAAGUUUCGGCGGUUGGGGAUGGACUCGCGGCUUAUCAGCUUGUUGGUGGGGUAGUGGCUUACCAAGGCUUUGACGGGUAGCCGGCCUGAGAGGGUGACCGGCGACAUGGGGACUGAGAUACGGCCCAGACGCCUACGGGAGGCAGCAGUGGGGAAUAUUGCACAAUGGGCGGAAGCCUGAGGCAGCAACGCCGCGUGCGGGAUGACGGCCUUCGGGUUGUAAACCGCUUUCGCCUGUGACGAAGCGUGAGUGACGGUAAUGGGUAAAGAAGCACCGGCUAACUACGUG
This 468-nucleotide ribosomal RNA is filed under the name uncultured bacterium. Its description in RNAcentral is "partial 16S ribosomal RNA". It matches the Rfam family "Bacterial small subunit ribosomal RNA", at positions 28 to 507 of the family's 1533-position model. The record is from RNAcentral.